Molecule: long non-coding RNA, 22793 nt
Filed under: Citrus sinensis (sweet orange)
Lineage: Eukaryota; Viridiplantae; Streptophyta; Magnoliopsida; Sapindales; Rutaceae
Description: long non-coding RNA (CSIN_LNC003565)
Source: RNAcentral
UAUCCCAACUGCAACAGCAGAGAAGGUGAAAAAAGGUAUGCUCGAGGGUGUUGAAGCUGCACUUGGCCGACCGAAAGGUUCACUUCAGAAGCCCAUUUAUACUCGAGUCCAUUUAUGGUAAGACUCCACUUUUAAGGACAUGACCUUGUAAUUUCAUUUUUUUAUCUUGUCCAAUUUGGAUCCUUGUAACCUACUUGACCUGUAAAUAUUUGCUGUUGGUGUUGGUUUAGAAUGAGUGGUUGAUUUGAACAAGCUUAAAAAGUUAUUGUGUGGACUUGUGUAUAGUCCUAGUUCUAUUUUCCUGUUACGCUCAUUUUUAAAAAAAGAUGGAACAUGUCAUUCCAAUUUAUUAAAUAAAUAAAACAACUUCAGAAUUUCAUGAUUAAGAAAAUAGUUCCUAUGUGAUGAAUUAGGUAUUUAUUUAUUUAUAUAUCUAUUUUAUUUAUUUAUUUUUUUGGGGGGGAAAUGUGUAGGGGUGCAGCUCUUCCAACUAAUACUCCAAGUAUUCCAUGUAUGGGGAUUGGCUGUUGGGUUCAAGUGUAGAGUCAGCUGCAUUGAGUGGCAUGGCUCUUGCCAAUCAUGUAAGCAAGAAUAUGAUUUUCAUUUGCUUAUUUGGUUUUAUUUUGUGCAUGUAACUAUAUAUUUCAUGGUUGAUAUAAAAAAAUAAAAUAAAUCUAAGACACUUCCGGUAUAUGUGGCGAUUGGCUGUUGGGUUCAAGCGUAGAGUCAGCUGCAUUGAGUGGCAUGGCUCUUGCCAAUCAUGUAAGCAAGAAUAUGAUUUUCAUUCCCUUCUUGCUGCAUUUGAGGACCCCCUCCCACUGGGCAGUGCAUCAACAUUUGAAGGCGCCUUUGUGAAAGGUGUUGAUUCUGUCUCAUGGAUGGCAAAUAACUCAGCAAAACUUUUGAAUUCUCAGAGUGAUGCUCCUCACUGUUGGACCUUCUUCAGCACCGCAGCUUACGGAAAACAAAACAAGGUUCCACAGGUCAGUUUGUAUAUAAAUGUGGGUGUUGUUUAAAGUACUUGCUUACACAUGAUAAUAUGCUAGCAUUGGCACACUUUUUAACCAAUUGCCUAGAUUUGAAUCCAUUCAUGCUUCAGCUUGAACUCCAAGCUAUAGAAACAAGGCUGCAAUAAGUUCUGUCUAUUUGUGCAUAUUUAUGUUCCCUUUUAUACUUGAAUCAAUAUGACAUUUCAAUUUUACACCGAACUUUGGUGCUGUGUAGAUACGUAUAUGUUGCAAUUUAGGCUUUCUGCAAGAUUUUUUAUGAUUUUUUUUUUUAUCAUUUAUUAGGAAAAUAUCCCAACUGCAACAGCAGAGAAGGUGAAAACAGGUAUGCUCAAGGGUGUUGAAGCUGCACUUGGCCGACUGAAAGGUUCACUUCAGAAGCCCAUUUAUUCUCGAGUCCAGUUAUGGUAAGACUCCACUUUUAAGGACAUGACCUUGUAAUUUCAUUUUUUUAUCAUGUCCAAUUUGGAUCCUUGUAACCUACUUGACCUAUAACUAUUUGCUGUUGGUGUUGGUUUAGAAUGAGUGGUUGAUUUGGACAAGCUUGACAAGUUAUUGUGUGGACUUGUGUAUAGUCCUAGUUCUAUUUUCCUGUUACGCUCAUUUGAAAAAAACAUGGAACAUGUCAUUCCAGUUUAUUAAAUAUAUAAAACAACUUGAGAAUUUCAUAAUUAAGAAAAUAGUUCCUCUGUGAUGAAUUAGGUAUUUGUUUAUUUAUAUAUCUAUUUUUUUUUUAUUUCUUUUUUUUUGUUGGGGGGGGGUGGAAGGGCCGGUAUAUGUGGCGAUUGGCUGUUGGGUUCAAGCGUAGAGUCAGCUGCAUUGAGUGGCAUGGCUCUUGCCAAUCAUGUAAGCAAGAAUAUGAUUUUCAUUUGCUUAUUUGGUUUUAUUUUGUGCAUGUAACUAUAUAUUUCAUGGUUGAUAUAAUAAAUAAAAUAAAUCUAGGACAACCAUUCUAUCCCUAUAUGGACAUCUAAAUAUAAUUUGUAGAUUGGCUUCAAUCAGAUUGAAAAAUCAGACAAGUUUCAACAACAUUAGCUUGAUGCUUGAUUAUUCUUAUAUAAAUAACGUAAUUGGUCUAUGUAGAUUGCAGACUAUUUAGGAAGUGAUGGAGUUCGUCCUGAGGAAUUUGCUGUCGGUUUACACAAAGACUUUCAGUCGCUCCAAGGACAUGAUAUUGGACAAUUCCCGGGUUUGGAGUCCAUGGAAAAAGAGCAAGUUCAAGCAUAUCAGCUUACUUCUUGAAUCCCUAAGCAGGCCACGAAAAUUUCUAGAGUUUUUCAAGGUAUACUUCUAUUCAUACACUGUUUAUGGCUUUCUGUUUUUCACUUGGGUUACUGUCAUGUUAAUUCUCUUGGUUUUUAUAGCUAGGAUUAAGAAGUUUAUUCACAAAAUGCAGUUAUUGGCAUAGUUGCUAAGCAAGCAUCCUGAAAUUCUUUUUGUGAUACCAUCCAUUACGAAACGUAAUGAAUACAGAAGCAAAGGAAAGCGGAUUCUUCGGGCAGCUAAAUCCUUGCAGAAAACUUGUUUUCAGUAGCAUAGGUGACAGGAAUCGUGAUAUUUCCCCGGCUUUCAUGGAAGAAAAAUAAAAAAUUUCUAAUAACUGUAACCCUUUUGAGUUCUCCACAAAUCAGUUUGAAUAUGAAGCCAAAUAUCAGAUGCAUAUUUACAGGCUUCUUUCAGAGCAACAAAGUUUAAUGCUAUCAGUUGUUUUGGGUUCAAGUGAUCAGAGCUUCAUCCGGCACAAGCACGCCAAACAGAGUAUGAAAAAUUUUGAAACCUACAGUUAAAAAUUCUCAAGUUCCGUAUUUGACCUGUAGUCACAUUCAAGUUUAUACAUGACUACUGAUAUAUGAAAUGGCAUUUUUAUUCAGUUCCAGAAAAGUCGCAUGCAGAGGAUUUAAAUUUCAUAUUAAUGGAAUGGUUUUGAGCUUCAUUAUUAGAUUUUUUUUUUCAAAAUAAUUAAUGGAGUUAACAUUACUUAUUACAGGAAAAGAAAGAAAGAUUAAUUCUCCAUGGGAAAAGCGUUGAAAGAAGCUUCUCAUGAGCGCAAUCAGUCCCUCAGUUGCUUACCAUGGUAUCUUUUCCAUACUUUCACACAUGUUGAUAAAAUUCUUUCUUGGUUAAAUAAUUUGGAGAGAGAGCUGUUCAUUGGCAACACAAGCAACAAAAUAUCACACACAAAUUAAUUCCAACAAAAAUAAUAUUUUUACACGAGAGACUUGUGUGAGAGAAGAGGGUUAAUUAGAUGAUUACUAUUGAGAUCACAAGUUAGAGCGAAAUGAACACAGGCAAUUGAACAAGCUGUGACAGAGUCUGUGAUACAACUCUGCAACUCAGAGUUUAUAUCCUAGAUUUACACUUUUCGAGUAAGUGCUGACUCCAGCAAAAAGAAGCAAAAGAAUUGAAAUUAAUGGAGAAACAGAGAUAGCAGGAGAGACGGAGAGAGAGAAGAAGAAAUAUUUGCCAUUUUCUUGCUUUCUAUGACGUGUUCCCCUCUACAUAUAUCUUUUAACCCCUCAACAUUACACGUGUAACUAACCAACAAAUGAAUGAUUCAAAGAAAAAACAGUCACAACAAAAUAACAAAAUCACAGCUGCCAUCUUUUCCACUCUCUUUGUGCCUUCUCGAAUAUUCCUUAGGUAAUGUAAUCUUUGAGGUAUGUUGGUGCCCUGCGCAUACGAGCUGGACCUUUUGUGUGCUCCUCAACCAGCUGGGCUUCUUUCUCUGUUUCCCAUGCUGACUUGUCAUUAAUCUCGGGCAAGGUUGUAUCAGUCUGUCCAGCUGAAGAAAUUGAAAACUCUUUGGCAUUUGUCUGCAAGCUUUAAAGCCGUCCGAAAACCAUUGUGCUUCUGCUUGAUAGCCAGCAACAAAAACAAGAAGAAGAACCCAGUACAGUUGCAGUUUCUAGUUUUUCAUGCUUGCCAUCUUUUCGUUCUUGAGAUUGAAAUGAUUUAAGAUUUAUUUAAAGGGUCUUUAUCUUAGUAUGCAAUUAAUGGUUUGAAAACAGAUUAUAUGCUAUUACAAGUGAAUUUUCCUGAUAACGAUUGCUUGACUAGGAUUCUUGUCGUAGUAUAAAUUAUUAAACAUGAUUUUAUAAUUAAUGAUUCGUACAUUAAGUGAAAUAGAAACCAGGAUUUGAAAACUACUUUGUUGGUAAAAUCGCUUGAAGCAACAGCCUAAAAUUAUCAGAUGGUGAGAAAACAGGAGAUGAUCUACCAAGAGAGUAAUGAAGUUUUCUAAAGUCCAACUGAAAUGAUUUCAGGAUUCGCUUCAACAAUGCAAAAAUAUAUUUGAUAUUUCAAAUCUAUGAAAUUCAUUUUCUUUAUCGUUAUCUUGGACGUAUCACAUGUCAAAAUGCAUUAAUUACCGAUGCUAGCACUUGAAAUAAAAAAAAUCAAAUGGUAAGUAUUUUUAUAUUACAUACUUGAUUGUACCCCAAACCCAAUUUGUAAGACAUGAAGAAGAAAUCUCUUUUAUAGAGUUAUUUCCAAAAUGGCAGAAUCUACCAUCUUGAACCAAAGUAUAUCAUUAGAACAAGGAGGAGGAUUAAGGACAUUCUAUUUCGAGAGCUACCUGAUAGGGUACUUCAUUCUUGACAGAGUACUGGCCUUCGUUGUCAUAUUGCCACCGAAUCUGAACUUCUUUGAGGAAAUGAAUGCUUUGGUGGAAGAAGACCUUGAGCAAGAAAGAGACCAACAUGAAAUAGAGAUGAAGAAAAUCUCUAAUUAUGCAAAUAUGGUCUGAUUGGCUUGUGAGAUAACUAACCAAACUAAUCACUACUUUCAAUCUCAAUUAAAUUCCAACAAACAAUCUAUUUGCUAUACGAACUUAGGUGGUGAUCAACCAAAUAAAGUUGCCUGAAAACUGCUCCGACGAAACUCUGGGGAUAUAGUACAUUGUUUGUUGAUAUUGAAUGGGUAAACAGAAUAUUAGAAGCCCUUGCUGAAAUUUGACGGAGAUUGAAAGUAGUGAUUAAUUUGGUUCGUUAAAACUUACAAGCCCACAAGACCAAUUUGAUUAGUUAGAGAUCUUCUUCCACCAAGCAUCCACUUCCCCACAGGAUUUCAUGGCAGCUAAUUGUAUGCGGAUCGAUCUUCAAUUUGCCGUCUCAGAGUAUGAAACAUGAUCCAACAUUAUCACAGCCUAGCACUAUCUAAGUAGGUUUCUCUUUUAACCUUGCACGUUAUAAAGAUUGAGUAUAUAUAAAUAAAAUUGUACUUCGAAAAUUGGCUCUUGCCCUCAAUACGUGUUAAUCCAUGAGUUAGUUGGCUUUGUCCUGUUCAGUAUCGCUGCCUAGUAGGUGUGGCUUUUAAGCAACAACUUCGGUUUAUGACUUUGUAUUUGAUGAAAAAAAAAAUUUACUCUCACCUUUUUUUUUUCCUCCAAAUUAUUAUUUUUAAAGCUUUAAAAAUCAUAUUUAUCAAUUACUUUCAACUUUUAUUUCAUUGCAAUUGUAACUUAAUUUUAAGCCACAACACUAAAUAAAUCCUCCGCAAUUAAUGGUCUCUUUAACCUUGAAAUAUAUUUUUUUUUUAUAUAAUCACGAGGUAUCUUGGGGGGCCCAACUGUGGGAGGCACCUUUAAGCCCGUAUCACAACUCAGACUAGAAGUCUCCGCUCGAACCGGGAGGCACGGGUUCUCCCAACAAAGACGACUUCCCUGCGACUCGAACUGGGGAGCAAACCAAGUCAAGCCACUUAAGGGGACUCCAUUGCCAAUGGAGCCAACACUUUAUUGGUUAACCUUGAAAUAUUAAUAACAAAACUACUCACCGUCUGUCACCAUGAGCCACCACGAACCACCAUCGGCAUUCAUAUUUAGGUAUCUUCUGUCAUUAAUUUUAUACAUUAGAAUCUUCAAACUUUUGAUAAUGUAGCAAAAAAUGCAUAAACAUUGUAAUUAGUGUUAUGCAAUGCAUUUCAUUUCAAUUGCCUAUGUGGCAAACAUACUUUUUAGGUGUUGAAAUUGGGCAAAAGUUACACUAUAAAAAUAUUUGAUAAACACUUGAUACUAUAAUUUAAAAAAUAAGUUGAGAUUUGUUUAAAAUAAAAAAAUAAAAAACAGCAGUUAGACUUGAGUUUAACUUGAGAUUGAUUGAUAUAUAUAUAUAUAUAUAUAUAUAGCAAUGCUUUUAAGUUUUCUGAGUUUAAUUCAAAAUCUACCUCAAUUGACUUCAAUUAAAGUCAUGUGCAUCUGUUGGGCAUGGUUGAACUGGAGAACAGAAGGGAGUGAAAAAUUUUACGGGCACAUGUGUGAAAUUUUGCUUACGUACUUGAUCAACAUGUUUUGGUUUCCUUCUUAUUAUUAUUAUUAUUUUUAUUUUUGGCAAUCCUCAGUAACUAUGAAAUGAAAGUUGGUUGUAAUUAUGAAAUGAAAAGAAAAUAUCAAAUUAUAAUCGAUAGUUAAAACACAAAAAGUUACCUUUGCACUCUGAUGUAGUCUGGCAGAUAAUGAAGCAGGGAGAAAGAUUCUGAUCAUUUUCCCUCUAAACAAGCAUGAAAGUCCCAGUUCUGUAAGAUGUAUCAUUGGUAAUUUUCAAUUAUAAGCUAAUAUAUGAUAUUUUUUGGGUGGACAAAAUUAUUCAGGCCCUUAAAAUGACUUAUAAAUUAUAUUGAAAUUAAAUUUAAAAAUAAUUAAAAAAAUUUAAAGUUGGAACCCAAAAGAAGAAGAGGAACGAUUUACUCAUGACAAAAGAUAAAUAAAGGGUUGUCACCCAAACAAGAGGAUCGCACAUUCUUAGGGGAAAAUAUUUGGAGGAUUCACCAAAGAUGGUACCUGGGUUGUCAGCAUAACGAUUUGGGUGGCGAGAGGCAAAGAAAACAGAGGAUGUAGGUGAUUUAAUUAGACAAAUAAUUAGGAUACAUCGAACAGAGGAGAAGACAAUCGCAAAUUCGUUGGAGCAGUUGAUUUCGAUGAUUUGUUUAACGAAUCGGAUGGCGCUUUUGUAAAUGUAGUUGCGAACUGCAACCCACUAUUUGGGUGUUGAAAGUGUAGGAAUUCCUCAUGGCCGAAAGUAGAGGGAAUAGCGCCUGUUUUUUUUUUUUUUUUUUUUUUUUUUUUUUUUUUUUAAAAAAAUUUAAAGUUGGAACCCAAAAGAAGAAGAGGAACGAUUUACUCAUGACAAAAGAUAAAUAAAGGGUUGUCACCCAAACAAGAGGAUCGCACAUUCUUAGGGGAAAAUAUUUGGAGGAUUCACCAAAGAUGGUACCUGGGUUGUCAGCAUAACGAUUUGGGUGGCGAGAGGCAAAGAAAACAGAGGAUGUAGGUGAUUUAAUUAGACAAAUAAUUAGGAUACAUCGAACAGAGGAGAAGACAAUCGCAAAUUCGUUGGAGCAGUUGAUUUCGAUGAUUUGUUUAACGAAUCGGAUGGCGCUUUUGUAAAUGUAGUUGCGAACUGCAACCCACUAUUUGGGUGUUGAAAGUGUAGGAAUUCCUCAUGGCCGAAAGUAGAGGGAAUAGCGCCUUUUUUUUUUUUUUUUUUUUUUUUUUGAAUUCUGAUAUACAAGACUGUAGGUACUACAAUUAAUAUUUACAAACAGAUUCUAUAAUUGAGACCUUCUUCGUGGCAUGUACUCCUCUGAAGCGUUGCCCAAAUUUUUCAAACUCUCUCAAAUAUUCGAGGGUUGUCCACUCCACUCACAUUUCGUGAGGGAUAGACUGACUUCACUCAAUUAUUUGAUAAUUGAGAGAAGAUUAUAAAUAAGUCCCAUAAAUUUUUUUUUUUUUUAAUAGCGCGUCUGUUUGAUUUACUAUAUGCAGUACGAACCGGAUGAAGAAGGUAAUUCGUGGGAAAAAAAUAAUGGUUACUUGUGGUUGAAAUUUGAUGAAACUAUAGAUGGUUAUAUUUAUUCGAAGGUAUUAACUAACAUAUAAUAAUUUAUUGUUUGAACUCUUGACUCUUGCAUAAGAAAAUCAAUUGGUAGAGAAAAUUGUUCAUUGCCAAUUUAGUAAAAUAUUUGUUGGUCCCUUGAAAGGUAUAAGAAAUUUUUGGAGUAAAAAAUAUUUAAACAGAGUUGACAAUAUGGAGUUUAUGGAAAGAGCUUUUAAACAAAUCUCACCAUGUAAUUUUAAAUAAGGUUAAAAUCGUAAAUAUGAGAGGGGUUUUUAGAUGACUUUAGAGGGGUGCCAACAGCGCCACUUAAAUGCAAAGCCACUCUUACUUUACUCGUCUCUUAACGACCUAGGGUUCUUCUUCCACUCUCCAUUCUUUUGCUUGCCGACCUGAAAAUCCCUUCUCUUGUAUUCAAAUCUCAAAAAGUGCCAUUUUCGUCAUCGAAAAUAAGCAGAUCUACACCCUGUGUUGUAUGGUUGCAGUCCGUGUGAAGCCAUUGACGUCGAUGGAUGAUGCGGGGUUCUAACUGUCACUUUGAAAACAGUUAUGCCUAUUCUUCCUUGUACUGUAGAAGGCUCCUGUGACCUCAAAGACGUCACCAUGGAAUGGAAGCAUGCUGAAGGCUUAUCCGAUGGUUGGCAUAGAAGGUGGCAAGUUACUUGUAAUAGGCAAGCUGCAGAAGAAAGAUGACGUUUUCAAGGUCGCAGGAGCUUUCUACGGUUGGGGAAAUUUUUCCAUGCUGAAAAAAUAGACCUGUUGAAUCCAUUCGUACUUCAGCUUGAAAUCCCCCGCUACCCCCCCCCCCCCCCCCCAACAAAAAAAAAGAACAAGGCUGCGGUGAGUCCAGUCUUUUUGUGUAUAUAGACUUUGCAACAAGAUUAGCUUUAUUUUCCCUUUUGUUCUUGAAUCAAUACAAAACUUCAAUUUUGCAGGGUACUUUGGUGCAGCAUAUGUAGAUAUGUAUGUGUUGCUACUCAGGCUUUCUGCAAUAUUUGUAUAAUUUUUUAUAUAUCAUUUAUUAGGAAAGUAUCCCAACUGCAACAGCAGAGAAGGUGAAAACAGGUAUGCUCGAGGACUUCGCCUGCCAGAAGGUUCACUUCAGAAGCCCCUUAUACUCAAGUCCAAUUAUUGUAAGAUUCCACUGUUUGGGCAUUAUCUUGUGAUUUCAUAUUUAUCGUGUCCUGUUUGAAUCCCUGUGACCUACUUGGGCUGUGACUAUUUUCUGUUGCUGUAGCUUUAGAAUGAGUGGUUGACUUGGACAGCCUUAUCAAGUUAUUGUGUGCACUUGUGUGUAAGUCCCUAGUUCUACUUUCUUCUGAUACUCGUUUUUCAGACGAGAUGGAUCGUGUGAUUUCAAUUUAUUAAAUAUUUAAAACAACUUGAGGAUUUCAUAAUUGAGAAAAUUCUGGGUCCCUUUAUGUUGAUUUAGGUAUUUAUCUUUUUUUGUUUGGGAUGUAUAGGGGUGCAGCUCUUCCAACUAGUAUUCCAAGUAUUCAAUGUAUAUCUUUGAUCCCCGAGGAAGGGCUGGUAUAUGUGGUGAUUGGCUGCUGGGUUCAAGUUUAGAGUUAGCUGCCUUAAGUGGCAUGGCUCUUGCUGAUCAUGUAAGCAAGAGUAUGAGUUUCUUUUUCCAAUUUGGUUUUGUUUUGCACAUACAAAUGUAUAUUUCAUUAUUGAUAAUUAGUAUCAAAUUUAAAAAAAAAAAAAAAAAAAAAAGCAACACCACCUUUAUAUCCCUAUAUAUGGACAUUUAAAUAUAAAUUAGUGUAUUGGCUUAAAUGCAGUUCGAAAUAUAAGACAAGUUUCAAACAUAAGAUUAAAGCUUGACUAUUCAUAUAUAAAUAAUGUAAUUGUUCGAUGUAGAUUGCAGAUUAUUUAGGAAGUGGUGGAGUUGGACCUCAGGUGUUUGCUGUCAUUUUCCACAAUGAGUUUCUGGGUUUAGAGUCCAUGGAUAAAGAAAAAGUUCAAGCUAUCAACUUACCAUUUGAAUGCAAGCAGGCCAUGAAAAUUUCUAGAGCUGUCAAGAUAUGCUUCUAUCAACGCAUUGUUUAUGGAUUUAUUUCACUUGGGUUAUUCCCAUAUAUUAAUUGUCUUGCUUUUAUUACUGGGAUAAUUUGAUUGCAGUCAUCGAUGAGAGUAAUGCUUAUUUAUUGGUAAUUGAAAUAUUUUGCGAUCAACAGUGUCGCAUGUGUUCAUCAUUAUAUGUCUACACACACACACACACGCACAAAAUAUUUAUAUAUAUGUUUAUAUACCAUGACAAGGGCUUUGUGCGUUAUCAUUCAUUGCUUGUAGCCAUUGUGACACUUGAGUGUAUAUGCAACUUAGGCCAUAGCAAUCCUUUUUGGAAUGAAAUUUUGAUUUGAUUAUUGCCAUUUUUGUGAUUGAGUUAUUGUGACUUUUGGUUCAAAUAUCAUAGUUUUUAUGCUUUCAAAAUUAUCCUGCCACCAAAAUAGGACUCAACUUGAGUUAUUCAAACUUGUGAAACUUGAAUUUUGUGUUUCUAAGUUUUUGAAUUUUGUGUAUCUGAGUUGAGUGCUGAGUUGGUCAGCCACAUCCAUGCAAUGAUUCGUUGUAUUUAUUUUGUUUAUUUUAAUAUGCUUUGCUUUAUCGAGGGAAUCAUGGCUUGGGAGGAAGAACGGAAACCAGAAUGAUAGGUCCUCAACCACUGAUAUUUGAUCAUGCUGCUCAAUUCUUUACCGUGAAUGAUUCUUGGUUUGGUGAGUUGGUUGAUGGUUGGUUGGAGAGAGGUCUGGUGCAUCUGUGGAGAGCUUGAAGUGGGUGGUCAAUUCACCCCAUUUCCUUCUUCACUUCCAAGAUACAUUGGUAUUAAUGGGAGCGCCUUCUUGCCGACUCUUGAUUGGCCCAGGUGACAAAUCUACGUUUGCUUUUGUGUUAAUCCUUUUGUUGAUUCUUUUAUGCUUCUUUGCAUAAACAAUGGGGGAAUAUUGUUUAAUUAAAUCACAAUGGUAAGCAACUACUAUAUUUUUUUGAAGUUUGCUGGUAGGUAGGGUUGCAACUUGGCUUGAUCCUCCCAAGUGCAGUUCUAUGCUAAUGAUUCAAAGUCCCAAAAUCAUCACAGUUUUGAGGUUUAAUUGCACAAGGAAGAUCAGAAGCGAAUUUUACAUUGUCAUGUGAUUUCAAUUGCAUAGGCUGCAUGGGUGACAUAAUGAAAUACUGGCUAUAAAGAUUGUAACUGAGUAAAAGAAAACUGGCACAAACAUUUUGCACCACUGUAUUAUUAAUACAAUUCCUGCGAAAUAACAAGCUUCUAUAUGCAGCAUUAAUAGUGAAUGGAGUUAGGUGUAAACAACAUCUUAUCAAGGCAUUAGAUUAUGUAAAUCAAGUUCCUUUGUCCUUCAGCUAUGUUGUUUAUAGUCUAACUCUGUUUUGAUAUGCUUGUUGCAGACUUCUUCAGGUUAAUGUAAUGAGACCUUGGUGGAUAAGUAAUCUUGAUCCAUUUAAUGGGAUGUGGCACCGGAAAACCAUCUGUUUAAAUUUAAUAACCAGAGUGGUUUUAUAGAUCUGCUUUUUAUUUUUUUUUUUCCUUUCAGUUUCUUGUCAGAUUGUAAGACAAUUUAAGGUGUAUAUACUUUGAAAUAUUCAGUUUAUUUAAUAUUUUCUAGCCUUUGCAUUAUUGAGAGUCAGACCAUCUUUUAGUUGUUUUGAAGAUUUAUGAUGCAUUUUGUGGGUUCUUAAGAGGCUAUACUUAAGCUCAAUAUGGGCUCUUCUUUCUUCAUUUGAGGAUCCCCUUCCGCUAGACAGUGCCGCGACAUUGGAAGGAGCCUGUGUUAAGGAGUUGAUUGUGUUUCAUGGAUGGCGAUAACUCAGCAAGGCUUUCAAGUUCUCAGAGUGAUGGCCCUCGUUGUUUGACACCCCCACUUUAAUCCAAGCUAAAAUAAACCUUAUUUCUCCCCACUCCUCGUUAAACUCCUUACUGGUGGUGUCUUCAUUUUCAAUACCCAUACUUGUAUGGCUAAACCUAACAGACAAAAUCAUUAGUGGUGGUGAGCAAAGACUAGGAUGCCUUCGGCAACUGGUCACUGCUAAUAACAAUAAUCUUGAUUCAAAGAAUGGCGGAUCCUUAGCCCGUCUGUCCGCAAUGCGUCAAGGGUUAUUGGCUGGUAAAAAUCACUUUGAUGAUGUGCUUACUUCCCCAUUUUUUUAAAACGAUUAAUUUCAAAUAUUUCCAUUGAUUUUAGACCACAAGAAAACCAACCAUAGAAUCUUCAAAAUGGCUUUCUACGCAAAUGCUGCUCGGAUUACAGUUUCGUUGGGAUAAAGUUUUGAGUUUCUUAUCAUUCUUCAAAGGCUCUGAUAUGUGGGAGUAAAGAACUUUAGAAACAAAUUAUGUGUAAUUAAAUUCAAAUCUGGUCAAGAAUUAUGGGAAUAGCAAUCUAUUUACACGAGUUUAGUUGGGAUUAGAAAUAAAGAAAAUUUUGUGACGUUUCCGCCGUAAGAGACCGUUGGAUUGGCAGAUUUUGACCAUGGGGGGCCGAGAUUGUGCCACGUCUCCACGCGCACCAUAUACCUUACUAUAUGGUUUUACACACCCAACCAUUCUUGUCUUAUUAGGGAGCAAUCUUGACCGUCGGAUCGUGCAUCAACGGUUCUUGAAGGCGUGCUCACCAUGCUUAUUGUUGAGAUGGUGACAUUAACCAUUUCUCACCCCCAUCUAUCGUAGAUCACGGGUUUUUUAUUUAAAUAUACCCCAUUUGUCCUUAAAUGCCAAAUCUAUACCCCAUUACAUACAUAUACCUCUUAAAAGUAUAAAAAGUCAAAAAUAACCUAAAAAAAUCAUCUAUUUACGUUUACUUCCUCUCUCAUGACUUCUACAUAAUAACACAACCAAAGUCGAGUAUACUCGACUUUUUACCUGACUUAAUUAAAAGGAAAAUUUUCAUUUCAAUUUAAGUCGAGUAUUCUCAACCAAUUACCGAACUUCAAUGAAAAGUCAAGAAUUUUUGCUGAAUGAAUAUUGGGUAAGGUUAAAUUAAAGUUGGGUAUUCUCGACUCUUUACUCUACUUACUUGAAAAAAUCAAGAAUUUUUCAGAUAAUUUUUUAUUUCAAUUGAAGUCGAGUAUUCUCGACUAUUUACCCGAUUAAUAUGAAAAAGUCAAGAAUUUAUACUGAAUUACUAAUUGUGUAUAGUUUGGUUGAAGUCGAGUAUUUUCGAUCAUUUACCCGACUUUGAGGAGUUGGGUUUAGUUUUAUGAGGAUUUAGUUGUGGUUAUUUUUGUAUUUUCUCUAGUUUUUUAGAGUAUAUAUAUGUAAAAUUUAAGAGUGUUAUAAUUUUAGGUAUAUAUUGGGUAUUUUGAAGGGAAUGGGGUACAUCCCACACAAUUCUCCCGUCUUGAAGACAUAAAUCAAAAUGCACUCUGUGUUCUGGGAAGAAGACGAGAACACUGUUCUCUUCAAGUUGCCUCUUGCCUCAGGGACGAAGCAAGAGGGUGUAAAGGUCACGAUAGAAGAUCAGAAGCUGUUCGUCUCAGAGGAAGCAGGCAGCUCUAUCAAUCAAUACUUUGGUAUGUAUGUCACUUUGCCUGAAGGUCUCAACCCGGAUGGCUUCGAGACCUCAGUGGAUCAGACGGGGCUCCUUACUGUCCGUUUCAAAAAACGUAUGCUUUCAUGUAGUACCGUAAAAAGCUCCUGCGACAUGGCUCCCAUGGGCUGGUUUGAGCCUGAUGAUAAAAACGGAGUUAUCCACUUCAAAGUGGGUCUUUCAGCAGAAACGAAGAAAGAAGAUCUCGUCGUCGGCGUCGUAGAUCGACAAUUUCUUAUAAUAGGCCAGCAGCGGAACGAGAAAAAGGAAGGAGGCUCCUGCGCGAGCUUCGUAGUGCCGCAUGGUGUGAACCCGGAAGGGUUUGAGACCUCCAUGGACGAACCGGGGGUCUUGACGGUCACGUUCAAGAAGAAGCCAUCGAAGGAUGGCAAGAAAAAGAAUAAAAAGAAAUUCAAAUCAAGGUUGCUCGGAGGUUUGGCUGAAGCGUGUCUCCUGACAUCUUGCAAGUGCGCUUGUGAUGAGCUUACUGGCGACGACUCCUAACUAAUAAUUAAGCUGGUGUUUGGAAUAUGGUAUUUCCUAUAUCAUGUUCUCCUUGUUGGUCGUUUUUUUAUGAGUGUUUUUUCUGUUUGAAAGAAAUAAACUCUGGACUAGUACUGGAGAACUCCAGAGCACAUGUUCCAAUUUACUCUUCUUCCUUUGGUUUGUCUGGGAGUUUUGUGUGUAAUAAUAUUAAUCAUUAAAAUAAGAGCUUUGUCUAUUUCCUUCUUCUUCUUCUUCUUCUUCUUAUUAUUAUUAUUAUUUCUUUUUCUAAGAACCAGUAAUUUCAGUUGUGUUAAAUGAUAUUGUGUGCGUUAAUUUUUUUUUUUCCUUUCUCCAAUUUUAAGGAUGGACUUUGAUUACCUAUAUAAUGACAAUCACAUGGGUAAACCAAGCAAACUAGAGUAGUUCAUCUAAUACAACUUUGUAUUUGUUUAAUGUGAACUCCGUGAUUGAUGCAACUUACAUCACUAUUAUAACGAAUCUCUUAUCUUUAAGAAUAAGUAACAGAGUAUUGGACAGCUGCGCUUAAAUCUUAAUUGAGUCAGAGUCCCCUAAGGUACUCAAUACUCCACUCACAUGAAGGUAUAGGUGGGGGUACAUUCAAUAACACUACAUAGGGUUUUUUUCAAUUGUUAGCGUAAAUUUGUUUGAUUAUGCUAUUCAGUUUUUGAUAAUCACUAUUUCAAAAUAUAAAUGUGCAAUUUGGUCAUUAGGAUACAAAUCAUAGCAAUUUUGAUAUUGUUUGUUAGGUGGAAAAAAGUUGUAGGGUAAUUACAUACACUUAGUAUAUUAUUAUUGCUAUUUGAAUGCCAUUGCUACAUUAACUGCAAUGACAUUUGGUUUGUGGCAUACUGAAUAAAAUUUCCUUUGAGCCUACAGGAACAGGACUGUCCUUGUAACCGUCCUAGUUCCUUAAUGGAUGUAUCUUUUAAGUCUUGCAUUUGGCAUAUGAAGUUUAUUGAAAGAAAGCAAAUGAUCAGGAGCUGGUCUUAAAAGCAUGUUCUUCGAGGAAUACAAUACAAACAGUAAUAGGUUUUGAGACAAUUCAUAGAGCUUUCCUUGAGUGAAAAAUAGUCACAUUACUAUUUAAACUGACACGACAUGCUCUUCUAGUUUAUUCAAAGAAUUAUGAGAAUAACCUCAGGUAUGUUAAUUGAAAAAUGCCCAAACUGGACAAGUCAUAUUCAUACCAUGUAACCCAGGUUCGUUAAUUUUAAAUUCCAAUUUAGUGUUCUGAUCUAUCUUCAUCUAUUUUAGCAUGUGUUUCAUAAUUCAUGCUUUAUUCUUCUUCUACUUUUUUUGUCCCCCUUCUUAGCUUCCAUUGGAUUAUUGAUGUGGUGAAAAAGGAAAUGUUCUAUUUGGAUCCCGAAAGGGCAAUCCUUAUCCGAAUUUAGACCAGAUCCUUAAAGCAUAUGUUUCCUUUCCAUUCGAUACCAUUCAUAUUUUAGGUUUCUUCAAUGUAUUUUAGAGAUACUCUUGUAGUUUUUCAUACAACGCCAUGAAACUGUUCACAAUAUAUAUCUAAGAUGAGAUUUGUGGAGGUUAAAUAAAUUACCUUACCUGAAUGCAGUGUGGCUACUACUUUUACUAACACAAAUGUAAUUUGUAAUUAACUUUUUGGUUUUUAACCGUGAAUAGACCCUGCAACAACCAGACCAUAUGGAGUGAGGCUAUUAUGUCAUGAGGUACAUGAAGAAUAUAAUAGCAUACAUUGAUUUGCUAAAGAACAAUGUGUGUUACUGAUGAAUAAUAUCAAUAGGUUUGGUUUGUAGCAUAUAUAUGUGGCGUUGAUUUGGAAGUUCAACAACAAUGAUUUUGUGGUUAACAGCUCAAUGCAAAGGACACCACACUCUAGCUGAAAUCAACAAACGACAUGCGUUUGGAGUGGGCUAACCUUUUUUCUAAAAUCCUUGUUGCAUCGUCAUACUAUAAAUGUGAAAUUAUAGUGCAGGGUGAUAGGGAGGGAACUCACAGAUGUACACAUGGAUAAGAAGUCAAAUGGAGUUGUACCGAAUUCAAAUGAUGCAUCUUGUGAUAAAGUUCAUGUGGCUCCAAAAAUCUCAGAAGACAAUGUUGAUCUAAAGGACUACAAGGUGAAAGAAUGCACUGAAGAAAUCUCGUUCAAAAAUUGUAAUGAGAAACAAGAAGAACUUGAUGUGGAAUGUAAAAAUUUUGAUGUUGAUGUAACUGAUGACACAAAUGACUAGCCGGAACUGCAAAAGUCAAACUCUCCAUCUAAAUCUCGUGGUCCUGCUAAUGUGCGUACAAGUCUCACUGUCCUACAGCCCUUUGCUCUGGCAACUGAAAAACGUGCUUCAGGCACAACUAGACAUGGUGGGGCUGAAACUGCAGCUGAUAGCAAUAAUGCGCAGUCCCCUAUGCCAAAGAAGACUUCACAGGUAACUUAAAUCCUCAAUUGGAUAAAUUGUGAAUGCUGCUAUUCUUUAUUAUUAAGUUGAAGGAUCAAUGAACUUAACGAGAAACUUGACAUUAACUACAGCCAAUAUAAUUGGUGGUCUGAAGAGGCAAAAGAAUUCCAACUAUUUGUAAGGAGUCAAGCAACUUUACCUAGCAAAUAGAUAACAAAUUCAACCAAUGGAGUUUGUACCUUAUAAAGUUGCCUAAAACUAGUUUUUCUUGCAUUAAAUAGUAGGUUUCCUUAGAUCUGUUCAAGAAAAAAUUUUAAAAAAAUCUUAAUCACUUAACUAUAUUUUCAUUUGAUUUUCGUGUUAGGAAUCUUUUCCCACUAUAUGCCUUCUUGAUUCAGUCUUAAUGCUUGAUUUAAUUGGAACUGCUCUACAUCAUAGCCUUUGUUUUGUUUUGCUUCCCUGGUGCAGCAUGGGGAAAUCCAUAGCUCAUAGAUCUGUAAUCUUGUUAUCCUAUUUGCUUUAACUUCAAAAAGAAUAUCUAGCUAACUGAAUAAGCAAUUUGUAUGGUGCGUGAAGUCUGAUGGGAAUUCAAAAUCAUCUUGAUCUUGUUUGCAAUGAUCAAUGUUGCACAAAUUAUGGAUUUUAAGUUGUUGCUAGUCUUUGAUAUUCUGCAAUUUCUUUUGGAAACUCACCCCUGAAUCACAGAAGCUAUUGCAACUUGAUAACAAGAAGCUUUUUGAUGAAUUCGAACCCUUUGUUUCUUAUUUUAGUGUGCUUUUAACUAUAUGCUUUUAACUAUUGUUGGCUUUGAUAUACAUAGAAUGGCAGCAUCUAUACACAAGGUAAUUGUUGGAAUGGCUCCAAAAUUUGGAUGUUCUGAACGUGCUAGGAAACAGGAGGAGGUAUUUUUCAUUUAUCAAAUAAUUAAAUAUAAAAUUUAUUUUCAAAUGUGUUAUCUAAAUAAUGUUUUUGUAUCUUCUUGUCAUUUCCAUCUUCUAGUUUUGUACUAAAUUAGAGCAAAAACACAAAGCUUUGGAGGAAGAGACAAGCAACUUUGAAGGUGCAUUUUCUUAAGUAUCUCUGAUGUACUGUGUCUGCAAUCGUCGUUUUAUCUUAUUGCAGACAUCUGAAGAUCUUUGUGAAAUAGUAAUGUUUGAGUUGAUGUUCUGAUGCCAUUUUUAGUUCUUACAAUAAUGAGUUGAUGUCCUUAUCUGUGUGAAUAUUUUUUUAGUUCUUACGAUAAUGCUAUUUGAUUUCUGAUAAUUAGUGAGUGGGUACGGAAAGCGAAUUAAGGUUCAUAAAUACAUAUAUGUUUACUUUCACGCACUUUUUGACCAAUUGCUGAGAGCACUAGCAUGGUAGAAUAGAUUCACACUUCAGCUUGAAAUCCCAAGCUGUUGAAACAGGCCGCAAUGAGGUCAGUUUUAUGUGCACUUUUUGUCUUGGAAAUAAUAUUAGCUUGAUUUUCCGCCUUAUAUUUUGAAUCAAUAUGAUAUUUCAAUUUUACAGUAUAGAUUUAUAUUGCAGUUUAGCUUCAGCAAGAGUGGCCGAUUUGAAUAGUCUGGUUAUGCUCAUCUGAAAAACGAAAUGGAACAUGUGAUUCCAAUUUCUUAAAUAUUUGAAAUAAUUUGAGAGUUUCAUUAAAGUUUUCUAAACAAUCAUGAUUAGCCUAGAAAUUUAUGAAAACUGCGUUCCUUUGCAAUGACUUAGUUUGAUUUGUCUUUUUUGGGAUUGUGUUUUCGGGUGCAGAGGCGGCUCUUCCGACUAAUACUCUGAGUAUGCCGUGUAUCUUUAUCCCCAUGGAAGGGAAGGUAUAUUUGGCAAUUGGCUGUGGGUUCAAGUUUAGAGCCGGCGAGUCAGCAGCCUUAACUGGCAUGGCUCUUGCUGAUCAUGUAAGAAAAUUAUAUGAUUUUCAUUAGCUCAUUGGCUUUACUUAUAUAGCUUCUAAUAAGUCUGGGACUUGACAUUCAUUUUUCACUGUGCUACAGUGUUAUAAACCUGGUUUACAACAUUGUAAAAGUUUGUUUACAGUUUUGUAAACACGUCCGGAACUCUAAGACAAUCCAAAAUUCUUGGAUUAGUGUGUGUAUGUAUGUGUGUAUAUAUAUAUAUAUAAUGAGAUCUGAUCAGGUAGGAGAUCUCGCUAUCCAAGAUCCAACAUGAUCAGCCUCAUCUUGAAGAGAGCUGUGCAGCUUUUUGCUUCCUACUGCACGGCUCUCACUCACACGCUUUUGGAGAGCGAGAUAUAUCGCCCACCUGAUCAAAGUCCUAUAGCUCUGCGUGUGUGUGUGUGCGAUGAUCAACAAUUAGUAUCAUGUAAAGUGAUCUAUAACACAGCAUUUAUAUUCCUAUAUGGGGGCAUUUAAACAUGAACUUUUAUACUUGGCAUCAAUUUAGUUUGAGAUAUCAGGGAAGGAAUUUCAAAAAUAAGCUGGAAGCUUGAUUAUUCAUAUAUAAAUAAUGUGAUCUACAUCGAUUGCAGAUUAUUUAGGAAGUGGUGGAGUUCGUACUAAGCAGUUAACAUGGACUAAAUUGUUGUUUCGUCUGACAUAUUGUUAGCUCAAGCAAUAGUAAUGAACUUGAGAGUGGCAGUUUUUGAAAUCUUUUGUACAUGUAUACGAGUUGUAUCAAGAUUCUGUGGACAUUCUUUCUUCUAAUUUUGAUCUAUGCAUCACAAUUUUAUGAUCCUUGUAUCUUAAAUCAAACUUUGUUGCUGCAGGUUCAAUAUUCUGGACUUCUUUUAUUGGGAGGCUACCCUUCUGAGUAUCUGCUUUCAAUUGUCACUUGCAGCUUCUAAUAGUUUGCAAACCAAAUAUGGUUUUACAUGUUCAUGCACUUGCAGUGUAAUUUGUUUAAUAUGUUUGGCUAAUACAAAUUUCAAAGACAAAAAACAAAACAAGUGAAACAACUAUUUAUCCCAAAUGUAUAUUAUAUAUAUUCGACAGCAUUGAACUGUUUUUUUUCCCCCUUCAAUUGUUACAAUUUUCACAUAUUAUAAUCUAAAAUCUAUUCGGUAUCUAGGUACAUACAUUUAGUAGUAUAAUCAAAAGGUCUGUGGGUCAUUAACUUGAAAAUAUGUUUCUACUAAUAUUUGGAGAAGUGUAUAUUGUAUGUGGCAUUGAACUUUUCUUUCUAUUUCUUUUUUCAAAAUUAUUACAAUUUACACACAUAUUUCAGUCUAAAUUAUUUAGUGAAAAUAAAUUAGAUAUCAAAUUAUGUCGUAACAAGAUAAAUCAGGGAGCAGGGCAGAAUCAAGUAUAAAACGUAGGAUGAGGAACAAGAUUAUAACGAAUAAAACUACCAGUAAAUGAUGACCACUUUAAUUUCCUCUGCACCUUCAUCUUCUCUGAUUCGUCAACCCCUUAAACGCCCAAAAUCCUCAAGACUCUCAAAAGCAAAGACACUAACUUCAACCAUUGAAGCAACUUCUUCUCAACCAAAACCCAACAACGCCAAUGCUAAAAAACCCACUUCAAGAAACCGCAGAAGAUCGUCGUAUGGCAGCUCGAGAAGGUCAGCUCGAGAAGGUCAGCUCGAUAAGAAAACAUUCGCUCAAGAGCAAGUCACGUUCACUGCACCUGUCUCCAGUGACCCCCGUGUGGGGAUUAUUGGUGGAGGCAUGGCCGGUCUCGCUUGUGCUUUGAGUUGGGAUAAGAGAGGUGUCAAGUCCACUGUUUUUGACACGGUUUGUCAUUCGUCUGGUUUCUUGGCUUUUUUUUUUUCUGUACUUUUGUGUUUCUGAUUGGAGAGCUUGAAGUGGGUGGCCAAUUCAAUUAUCUGUUUAAUAUGGUUAGGUUGUGUUUGUAUUUGAGAGUAUACACUCGUGUAAUGGUGAUUGAAAAAAUGUGCUGUUAACGGUCUAGCACGUGUUGUUAUGCAUCGAAUUUUGAUUAUAAGCAUGUUUUGGAGUUGAGGUAUUGUGACUUUUGACCCGCAUUUGUUGACGAAUGAAAUUAAAACAUUAGCUGCUAAAUAUAAGUGGGGGUUUAUCAAAUAUUUUAGUCAACCACAUUUAUAUAUUCUUAACACCGUGCUUUGCUAUAUCAGGGGAAUCAUGGCUUGGGAGGAAGAAUGGGAACCAGAAUGAUAGGUCCUCAACCACUGAUAUUUGAUCAUGCUGCUCAAUUCUUUAUUGUGAAUGAUUCUUGGUUUCGUGAGUUGGUUGAUGGUUGGUUGGAGAGGUGUCUGGUGCGACCAUGGAAGGUGUGAUUGGAGAGCUUGAAGUGGGUGGCCAAUUCACUCCAUUUCCUUCUUCACCUCCAAAAUACAUUGGUGUGAAUGGGAUGCGCCCUCUUGCAGACUCUUUAUUGGCCCAGGUGACAAAUCUUUAUUUUUCUUUUGUGUUCUUUUCUUGUUGAUUCUAUCAUGCUUCUUUGCAUUAAAAGGGGAAAAUUGUCUAAUUAAAUCACAAUGGUAAAAAACCGAAUUAUUGUUUUGAAGAAGGUAGUAUUGCUGCCUGGGUAUUCAAAGUCCCAAAAUCAUUAUACCGUUGAGGUUCGACCAGAGAACGAAGAUAAGAGUAUAUGAAACUAAAAGCUAUAAUUACAUGGUCACAUGAUUUUAACUGCUUAGGCUGCGUGACUAUACUUAAUGAAAUGUGCCGAUAAUGAUCAUAACUGACGAAAAGAAUAACCAGCAUGAACAUUUUGCACCGCUGUAUGAUGACUACAAUUCCUGUGAAGUAACAGGUUCCAUAUAUGGAUAAUGGAUUAUUAAUAGUGAGUUGGAGUUAGUUAUAUACAACAUCUUAAAUGGCAUACCUUUACUUUUAAAUCAUGUAAAUAAGUUCCUCUGUCCCUCAUGCCUUGGCUUAAUUCAUUUUGAUUCUUGUUGCAGACCUCUAUGUUUAGCAUAGUGAGACCUUGCUGGAUAAGUAAUCUUGAGCCAUUUAACGGGAUGUGGCACUUGAGCGAGAAUGUGAAACUACGUGGGCAGUUUGACGUGGUUGUUAUUGCUCAUAAGGGUGAUUCAGUGUUGCUAUCCUUUCUCGUUUUCUCUCUCUGUGGAUUGUUAUAGUCUUACCUUUGCAUUCCAAAAAUGCAGGUUAUUGUUUUUUGCAGUUGCAUGAAUGUGACAAUUGGCUUUGCUAUUGGAAAAAAAUAUAUCUAUAUUUCUGAUUUUACUCUCUAUCAUUACAGUGGAUUAGGAGUGGCAAAUAAUCUGGUUUAUUACAGGGAAGCCCUACCCAAAUCCGAACUCCUAUGGAAGGGGUCCCUCUCCCUAACCAUCCUGGAAUACCCCGGGGGGUUAGAAUGCAUUUAGUGUUACAUUAUAUGACUUUGUAGUUCGCUGAGUUCUUAUGUUUUCUGGGAUACUAGGACUUCAAAAAGCACUGAAAACUUCAUAGAAUUUCAUACUGAUUUUCACUGUCAAUUUGGAGAAAAUGAUGGCUAGAUUAGAAGUAAGAUUAAGAGCAACUUGUAAAUUUAAUCAACUGGAAGACUGGUAUUGAAUGGCUAUUAGUUAGGUUAGAAUAAGAUGAGCCAGACUUUCAAGCUGUGCCAUGCAUUCAAGGGCCGUUGAGUAUUACGUAGGUUGUUAUGGAAGAGUUAAAAAAUAUCUAUAUAAAUUUAACAACCAGAUUAGGUUUCUAGAUCCAGAAGUCGAGGUUAUGUUUAUUUGCUUACUCUUUCGACUGUUAAUUGCCUAUGUCUUUUCCUGUUUACAUUUUGGCUUAGCUUUGUAAUAAUAGUUCCUUCAUGUAAUGAUAGGAAAAUGUGCAAACCGGUUGCUUGGUUCAUCUGGCUUACCUCAAAUAGCUAGACAAAUGAAGGUAUAUGCAUUGAAAUAUUCAGUUCUUUUAAUAUUAUCUAGCCUAUGUUUUAUUCAGUAUUGGCCAAUUCUAAUUAUUUUGAAGAUUCAUAAUGCAUUUGCCUGGUUUGUAGAGGCUGGAACUAAGUUCUAUAUGGGCCCUUCUUGCUGCAUUUGAGGACCCCCUCCCACUGGGCAGUGCAUCAACAUUUGAAGGCGCCUUUGUGAAAGGUGUUGAUUCUGUCUCAUGGAUGGCAAAUAACUCAGCAAAACUUUUGAAUUCUCAGAGUGAUGCUCCUCACUGUUGGACCUUCUUCAGCACCGCAGCUUACGGAAAACGAAACAAGGUUCCACAGGUCAGUUUGUAUAUAAAUGUGGGUCCAACUGCAACAGCAGAGAAGGUGAAAAAAGGUAUGCUCGAGGGUGUUGAAGCUGCACUUGGCCGACCGAAAGGUUCACUUCAGAAGCCCAUUUAUACUCGAGUCCAUUUAUGGUAAGACUCCACUUUUAAGGACAUGACCUUGUAAUUUCAUUUUUUUAUCUUGUCCAAUUUGGAUCCUUGUAACCUACUUGACCUGUAAAUAUUUGCUGUUGGUGUUGGUUUAGAAUGAGUGGUUGAUUUGAACAAGCUUAAAAAGUUAUUGUGUGGACUUGUGUAUAGUCCUAGUUCUAUUUUCCUGUUACGCUCAUUUUUAAAAAAAGAUGGAACAUGUCAUUCCAAUUUAUUAAAUAAAUAAAACAACUUCAGAAUUUCAUGAUUAAGAAAAUAGUUCCUAUGUGAUGAAUUAG